RNAcentral lists this ribosomal RNA (397 nucleotides) under uncultured bacterium. RNAcentral describes it as "partial 16S ribosomal RNA". It matches the Rfam family "Bacterial small subunit ribosomal RNA", at positions 523 to 918 of the family's 1533-position model. The record is from RNAcentral.
AUACGUAGGUGACAAGCGUUAUCCGGAUUUACUGGGCGUAAAGGGCGUGUAGGCGGUCUUGCAAGUCAGAAGUGAAAUUCCUGAGCUCAACUCGGGCGCUGCUUCUGAAACUGCAGGACUUGAGUGCUGGAGGGGAUAGCGGAAUUCCUAGUGGAGCGGUAAAAUGCGCAGAUAUUAGGAAGAACACCGGUGGCGAAGGCGGCUAUCUGGACAGUAACUGACGCGGAGGCGCGAAAGCGUGGGGAGCAAACAGGAUUAUAUACCCUGGUAGUCCACGCCGUAAACGAUGAAGACUAGGUGUAGGGGGUAUCGACUCCCUCUGUGCCGCAGUUAACACAAUAAGUAUUCCGCCUGGGGAGUACGGCCGCAAGGUUGAAACUCAAAGGAAUUGACGGGG